CCAUAGUAAUACCGUGACGGUUUCCGGAACGAAGGUUCCGGAAUCAAAAGGGAACCCGGUGCGAAUCCGGGACUGCCCCGCAGCGGUAAAAGAGAACGACCGCCAUCAUACGCACUGGGCGAUAGUAUCCUGGGAAGCGAUGGCUAGUAGGAAUUAUUCUUUUCGGUUCCAGUUCCGGAGAGAAGAGAAAGGCUCAAAAGUCCGAAGACCUGCCGUCUCUAUCCGUGCUUGG
Molecule: non-coding RNA, 232 nt
Filed under: uncultured Spirochaetota bacterium
Lineage: Bacteria; Pseudomonadati; Spirochaetota
Source: RNAcentral